UGGAACUAUGGGUGGUGCUUGUGGUUACGGAAAUUUAUACAGCACGGGAUACGGAACGAACACUGCUGCGUUGAGUACUGCUCUUUUCAACAACGGGUUGAGCUGUGGAGCGUGUUUUCAGCUAAUGUGUGUGAAUGCGGGGCAGUACUGCCUGCCAGGCAUAAUUACGGUAACAGCCACAAAUUUCUGUCCACCAGGAGGGUGGUGUGAUCCUCCACGCCCUCAUUUUGAUCUCUCUCAACCUAUCUUCUUGCGCAUUGCUCAAUAUAGAGCUGGCAUAGUUCCUGUUGCCUAUAGAAGGGUACCCUGCAGAAGAAGUGGAGGAAUUAGAUUUACAAUCAAUGGCCACUCUUACUUCAACUUGGUUCUUGUAACAAAUGUUGGAGGUUCAGGGGAUGUACAUUCAGUAUACAUAAAGGGUUCAAGAACUCAAUGGCAACCAAUGUCAAGAAAUUGGGGCCAAAAUUGGCAGAAUAACGCUUACCUUAACGGCCAAAGCUUGUCCUUUAAGGUCACUACAGGCGAUGGUCGCACUGUUGUUUCAUACAAUGCAGCUCCUAGUUCUUGGUCAUUUGGUCAGACAUUUUCUGGAGGACAAUUCCGUUAAAACGCAACAUAUUCUUUAAGAAAAAAAAAAUCAGAAUUUUCAAAGUAUACUACUUGCUAAUAUAUUAUUCUAAGAGUUUUGCCUUAAAUUUGAGGGUUUUACUCACCAAAAUAUUUGGGGAAAAGCGCAGUUUGGCACUUUUUGUCCAUUGUAAAAUUGGUCAUUCAAUUGUGGAAGUAAAAAGAAUUGAUUUGGCCUACUCUUUUUUGGGUGGUUAUUAACGUUUAGGGGGCGGCAGUUGUGAGCUUUUACUGCUCAAUUUAAUAGUAUAAAUAGCAUUUACAGUAUUGUGUGCAUAGAAGAAAAAUAUCUAUUUUUUUUUUACUGCAAAAGAGCUAAGCACUAGUUAUGGUGAGUAUGUAUGUACCAAUUGUCUCUAGCUAUUUGUUUGUAAGAAAAUGUUACUAUAAUAAUAAAAGGAAACUCCAAG
Molecule: unclassified non-coding RNA, 1037 nt
Filed under: Hevea brasiliensis (rubber tree)
Lineage: Eukaryota; Viridiplantae; Streptophyta; Magnoliopsida; Malpighiales; Euphorbiaceae
Source: RNAcentral